This 349-nucleotide ribosomal RNA is filed under the name uncultured Streptococcus sp. RNAcentral describes it as "bacterial SSU rRNA". It matches the Rfam family "Bacterial small subunit ribosomal RNA", at positions 1029 to 1382 of the family's 1533-position model. The record is from RNAcentral. Lineage: Bacteria; Bacillati; Bacillota; Bacilli; Lactobacillales; Streptococcaceae.
CGGUGACAGGUGGUGCAUGGUUGUCGUCAGCUCGUGUCGUGAGAUGUGGUAAGUCCCGCAACGAGCGCAACCCCUAUUGUUAGUUGCCAUCAUUCAGUUGGGCACUCUAGCGAGACUGCCGGUAAUAAACCGGAGGAAGGUGGGGAUGACGUCAAAUCAUCAUGCCCCUUAUGACCUGGGCUACACACGUGCUACAAUGGUUGGUACAACGAGUUGCGAGUCGGUGACGGCGAGCUAAUCUCUUAAAGCCAAUCUCAGUUCGGAUUGUAGGCUGCAACUCGCCUACAUGAAGUCGGAAUCGCUAGUAAUCGCGGAUCAGCACGCCGCGGUGAAUACGUUCCCGGGCCUU